GAUUUAGCUCAGCGGCAUAAGCGCCUGCCUUUCAAGCAGGUAGUCAUCAGUUCGAUACCGAUAAAAAUUA
Transfer RNA from Cavia porcellus (domestic guinea pig), 70 nucleotides. It matches the Rfam family "tRNA". From Rfam's summary of the family: Transfer RNA (tRNA) molecules are approximately 80 nucleotides in length. Their secondary structure includes four short double-helical elements and three loops (D, anti-codon, and T loops). Further hydrogen bonds mediate the characteristic L-shaped molecular structure. tRNAs have two regions of fundamental functional importance: the anti-codon, which is responsible for specific mRNA codon recognition, and the 3' end, to which the tRNAs corresponding amino acid is attached (by aminoacyl-tRNA synthetases). tRNAs cope with the degeneracy of the genetic code in two manners: having more than one tRNA (with a specific anti-codon) for a particular amino acid; and 'wobble' base-pairing, i.e. permitting non-standard base-pairing at the 3rd anti-codon position. Lineage: Eukaryota; Metazoa; Chordata; Mammalia; Rodentia; Caviidae. The record is from Rfam.